This 253-nucleotide ribosomal RNA is filed under the name uncultured bacterium. RNAcentral describes it as "partial 16S ribosomal RNA". It matches the Rfam family "Bacterial small subunit ribosomal RNA", at positions 524 to 776 of the family's 1533-position model. The record is from RNAcentral.
UACGAAGGGGGCGAGCGUUGUUCGGAUUUACUGGGCGUAAAGGGCGCGCAGGCGGCAGAUCAAGUCAGAUGUGAAAGCCCCAGGCUUAACCUGGGAAGUGCGCGCGAAACUGACGAGCUUGAGUGCCGGAGAGGGUCGCGGAAUUCCCGGUGUAGAGGUGAAAUUCGUAGAUAUCGGGAGGAACACCAGUGGCGAAGGCGGCGACCUGGACGGACACUGACGCUGAGACGCGAAAGCGUGGGGAGCAAACAGG